CUGGGUAGCUAUGUAGGGAAGGGAUAAACGCUGAAAGCAUCUAAGUGUGAAGCCCACCUCAAGAUGAGAUUUCCCAUGAUUUUAUAUCAGUAAGAGCCCUGAGAGAUGAUCAGGUAGAUAGGUUAGAAGUGUAAGUGUGGUGACACAUGUAGCGGACUAAUACUAAUAGCUCGAGGACUUAUCCAA
RNAcentral lists this ribosomal RNA (186 nucleotides) under Streptococcus lutetiensis. RNAcentral describes it as "partial 23S ribosomal RNA". It matches the Rfam family "Bacterial large subunit ribosomal RNA", at positions 2741 to 2925 of the family's 2925-position model. The record is from RNAcentral. Lineage: Bacteria; Bacillati; Bacillota; Bacilli; Lactobacillales; Streptococcaceae.